This 217-nucleotide long non-coding RNA is filed under the name Trifolium pratense (red clover). Its description in RNAcentral is "long non-coding RNA (TPRA_LNC011147)". The record is from RNAcentral. Lineage: Eukaryota; Viridiplantae; Streptophyta; Magnoliopsida; Fabales; Fabaceae.
GUUUUUUUGAUAACUUAAUACCGAGAUGUAUUGUAGAGUGUCUGUUUUAAGUUUUUUUGAUAACUUAAUGCAGCAGCAGAAAAAUUUGAUAAUUUAAACCAACUUUGUCCAACAUUUAAGCAAAACAAUGUCUCAACCAACCUAUUGGUUAUCUGAAUGUACUUUUCAUUUUAAACUCAGGGUUAUCAAAACCAGUGAGAGUAUACUAAUUUUAAAA